CAGUAGCCACGGUAAUACGGAGGGGGCUAGCGUUGUUCGGAAUUACUGGGCGUAAAGCGCACGUAGGCGGCUUUGUAAGUUAGAGGUGAAAGCCCGGUGCUCAACUCCGGAAUUGCCUUUAAGACUGCGGAGCUAGCAGGUGAGAGAGGUGAGUGGAAUUCCGAGUGUAGAGGUGAAAUUCGUAGAUAUUCGGAAGAACACCAGUGGCGAAGGCGGCUCACUGGCUCAUACUGGACGCUGAGGUGCGAAAGCGUGGGGAGCAAACAGGAUUAGAUACCCGGGUAGUCCCUGUCUCUUAUAC
RNAcentral lists this ribosomal RNA (301 nucleotides) under uncultured bacterium. Its description in RNAcentral is "partial 16S ribosomal RNA". It matches the Rfam family "Bacterial small subunit ribosomal RNA", at positions 509 to 807 of the family's 1533-position model. The record is from RNAcentral.